This 404-nucleotide long non-coding RNA is filed under the name Pan troglodytes (chimpanzee). RNAcentral describes it as "lincRNA". The record is from RNAcentral. Lineage: Eukaryota; Metazoa; Chordata; Mammalia; Primates; Hominidae. RNAcentral also lists the same sequence under 1 other name.
UUGCCUGCUUGUAAUGUUACCCCUGAGAAAAGUCAUCUGAAAAUGGGAAAUGGACCUGGACAGGAAUAAGCAGAGCAUGCUGAUUUAAAAUUAUGGAAAUUCUUCAGGCAGAAAAUGGGCACAUAUGGUUAUCACAGAAAAGCUGUUUUAAAGCCAGUUUUAAGGUAUUAUUAUGCCGCUACCUUCAAGAAGUAAUUUGCGUGCUGUUUAUUGGAGCUGUGAAUUUAAUCAUCUCAAUCCCACGCUAUUACAGGAUGACUAUAAGAAGAUGUAUUGACAUUUCUUUGGACACAUAAUUUUGCCUCCAUUGUGUGUUGUUUUGCCAGAAUACUGAAGGCAGUGUUUGUAUGAUGGCACAUCCAAAUAAAAAGCAGGUCCUCCUUUUGGGACAGUGAUCCAUUUAA